This 497-nucleotide ribosomal RNA is filed under the name uncultured bacterium. Its description in RNAcentral is "partial 16S ribosomal RNA". It matches the Rfam family "Bacterial small subunit ribosomal RNA", at positions 28 to 507 of the family's 1533-position model. The record is from RNAcentral.
GAUGAACGCUGGCGGCGUGCCUAAUACAUGCAAGUCGAGCGAACGGACGAGAAUCUUGCUUCUCUGAUGUUAGCGGCGGACGGGUGAGUAACACGUGGAUAACCUACCUAUAAGACUGGGAUAACUUCGGGAAACCGGAGCUAAUACCGGAUGAUAUUUUGAACCGCAUGGUUCAAAAGUGAAAGACGGUCUUGCUGUCACUUAUAGAUGGAUCCGCGCUGCAUUAGCUAGUUGGUAAGGUAACGGCUUACCAAGGCAACGAUGCAUAGCCGACCUGAGAGGGUGAUCGGCCACACUGGAACUGGGACACGGUCCAGACUCCUACGGGAGGCAGCAGUAGGGAAUCUUCCGCACUGGGCGAAAGCCUGACGGAGCAACGCCGCGUGAGUGAUGAAGGUCUUCGGAUCGUAAAACUCUGUUAUUAGGGAAGAACAUAUGUGUAAGUAACUGUGCACAUCUUGACGGUACCUAAUCAGAAAGCCACGGCUAACUACGUG